This 406-nucleotide ribosomal RNA is filed under the name uncultured bacterium. Its description in RNAcentral is "partial 16S ribosomal RNA". It matches the Rfam family "Bacterial small subunit ribosomal RNA", at positions 30 to 526 of the family's 1533-position model. The record is from RNAcentral.
AUUGAACGCUGGCGGCAGGCCUAACACAUGCAAGUCGAACGAGUGGCGGACGGGUGAGUAAUGUCUGGGAAACUGCCCGAUGGAGGGGGAUAACUACUGGAAACGGUAGCUAAUACCGCAUACCAUCGGAUGUGCCCAGAGGGGAUUAGCUAGUAGGUGGGGUAACGGCUCACCUAGGCGACGAUCCCUAGCUGGUCGGAGAGGAUGACCAGCCCCACUGGAACUGAGACACGGUCCAGGCACCUACGGGAGGCAGCAGUGGGGAAUAUUGCGCAGUGGGCGCGAGCCUGAUGCAGCCAUGCCGCGUGGAUGAAGAAGGCGUUGGGGUUGUAAAUUACUUUCAGCGAUGAGGCGUUACUCGCACAAGAGGCACCGGCUAACUCCGUGCCAGCCGCCGCGGUAAUUC